UAAAAUCAACGAGGGGUAUUUAGGGAGAUGGUAACCUUAGAUUUGACUUACACAGUCCAAAAUGCAGUGCAGUUGUUUAUAACAUUUUGAAACAUAAAAAGGAAAGGUUAUGUACUCCAUCAGUCUUUCCAUGAUUCUUAUGCCUUUUAAAAGAUAGGAGUUAUAGGACUUUAUUGAGUUUUUAAAAAUCCCCAGUCUGAAUAUUUUCCUCUAUACUGAAAACCAACAUUCAAAAAACUAUAAAAUUUGUUGAGAGCAUAGAUGAAGUAGAUUAAAGUUUGUAAAAGUCGUUAAAAGGAUGCUAGUCACAGUGUUUUGUGAAUUGAGGAAGGGACAUGAGUGUGAUAGCUUCCACAGUAUCUUAAACUUAAAAAUCCAAUUCUACAGCUGUUUAUUCUCUAGGUUGAUAACUAUCUGAAUUCCAAAGUUGAAUGAUACAGCAUGAAUCCUUUUGCUUGAAGUCUUUGUGCCUGAAUAACUAGGAGGGCAAUGGUAUCAUGUACCAGGGAGUGACAUCACCUGGCAAAACAUAAGUCCCAUGUGACAAAUGGG
RNAcentral lists this long non-coding RNA (552 nucleotides) under Bos taurus (domestic cattle). RNAcentral's name for it is "long non-coding RNA NONBTAT018505". Lineage: Eukaryota; Metazoa; Chordata; Mammalia; Artiodactyla; Bovidae. The record is from RNAcentral.